RNAcentral lists this long non-coding RNA (4498 nucleotides) under Lynx pardinus (Iberian lynx). The record is from RNAcentral. Lineage: Eukaryota; Metazoa; Chordata; Mammalia; Carnivora; Felidae.
AAAUAGUCGAUUUUGAAAUGAUAAUUCAUAUAUUUUUAUAUAGAAAGGGCAACUUGCAAAGUCUGUAGGACCCAGGAACCCCCAGACGGCUGACACCUGAGUUCAGUUGCCAGUACGCUUAGGGCGAGUACAGAAAAACAACCGUCAGUGGUCAAAGUUCCUGAGGAAUUAGACUUUGCUCAUGUCCAGUGACGUGGACUGUUCCUGCGCUUCCCUCUGGGCUCUCCUAACCUCUGGUGGUUGGGCUGACCACAGGACCGGUUUCAGCCAAGGAAAUGUGAAGGGAGCCAGCCUGUGUCCCCUCCUUGCCAAAGCGUGUACUCGUCAGUGCCUGAAUCUCCAGGCUUCUCUUUCUCUGUUGCGGCCACAGGAAGACGGCACAGUGGGACGGAGGUGCUCUGAGGUCAAAGCAGCGUGCGAUGCCAGGCUGGAGAUCUGCAAGGGCAACUGUCGUGACAAACCAGUAGCACCUACAGGGCUUUGCAUGAAGAAGGAAUAAACACAUCUGCUGGGUCAAACCCCUGAGGCUUAGGAUGGUUUGUGCCAGAGCCCACGCUGGUCCGUCCUGACGGCUAUCCCAGGUUUCGGUUUUCCAGUUCAAGUGCACCGAGGCCUGACUGGUGCAGGAAUGCAGAGCAGGAAUCCUGGAACAACAGAACACUGAACACGCUGUGGAGAAGACAGUGGUAAUUUUUAGGUGAGCUCAGUUUUGCGGUUUUCUCCGAUCUCAGCCACGCUUAGGUCAGGUCUAUAGUGUCCAUUUCGCUUCUUCCAGUUUCCUGGAGAGUGUUGUAUUUUUUUUUUUUUUUUUUUUUUUAGGAGAGGGUGAGAUGGCUGCCAUCCAUCAUUUUGGAAAGUCACGAGAUUUCCAGAUAGAUGCCUAAACAAAGGACAAGCGUAUUAACAAAUCUAGCUGUCCAAAAGUCAGGGCUAAUGUUAACCAAGAUGAGCAUUACUGCGAUUCCAUCAAGAUGUCCUGUUAUUUAUUUAACUUUUCCAUUUUCAUUUUUUAUUUGGGUAAGAUAAUUGCUUGUGAUAAGCCUCGGGUGUGGAGGUCUGGUGCAUACAGAGUGGCGAGGCGAGCUUCAGCUCAGGAUGCACUGGGGAAAGGAAACCAGGUAUUAACAUAUUAAAAUAAACUCCAUUCAUGUCCUUUCGUGGUCUUCUUCGAAAAGGAGGACCUCUCCAAAGUGACUGGUCUACUCUCAGGAAAAAUUCUUACUAGGGGGAUGAUGUGUUGACCUGCUUGAGGAAAGAAAGAUCUCUUGUAUGCGUGGAUUUUAUAAGAGACAAAAAAUAGUGCUUCUUUCCCUGGGUCUCAUCCCACGAUGCUACCCGUGCGUUGCAGGUCAUCUCACCUACACCAGCACCUCCCAUUGCCUCCGGCUGAGACCCAAACACCGGGCAACAGCAGGGUUUUGGUGCCUUAAUCCCCAGAUGGAACUUUAGUACAGGAGACCUAUUUAUUUAAAUGAGUCACCCAUAAUCCUUUCAAUGGAAACACAACCAUGGCCCCAGGCUCUCCUGUGCUGCGGUUCCUCCCCUUCCUCUUCUCCCCUGCUGUGCCAUUCUCAGCACCCUCUCUGUUCAGGCCUGAACACCUCAGCAGCUUGAGUAGAAGCAAAUGAGGGUGUGGUUCCUACUUCUGUGAAGCUGGUAAUGGCCUGAGACAUAUUCAAGUGCUCCGUUGGGCAGCCAUGAAAAUAGCCACUGGUUUUUGGUGGUGCUCACAUGGAUCCCCAGCGGUGUUGUGGAUGCCCUUGUUUUAGACAAGAAACCUGAGGUUUGGAGAGUAGGUAACUGACCCAGGGUCACGCUUCUGCUGCUGCUGAGCCCGAGAGGAUGGAGGAGGGGUGUCGCUAGAGGCCUUGUUCCUUCCCUGGCAUCCCCUGCCUACCAAAAAAGCUUAAAAAUAAAAGUCGUAUCCUUGAAUUCCUUUUAUUUUUUUAAACUUUUUACGUUUUUAAUUUAUUUUUGAGAGAAUGAGAGAGAGAGAGAGACAGAGCGUGAGUGGGAGAGGGGCAGAGAGAGAGGGAGACCCAGAAUUCAAAGCAGGCUCCAGGCUCUGAGCUGUCAGCACAAAGCCCGACGCGGGGCUCGAACUCACAGACCACGAGAUCAUGACCUGAGCUGAAGCCAGACGCUUAACCAACUGAGCCACCCAGGGGCCCUGCUGAACUCCUUUUAAAAGGAGGAUAUUUUGGGGUGCCUAGGUGGCUCAGUCAGUUAAGCAUCCCCCUCUUGAUUUUGGCUCAGGUCAUGAUCUCACAGUUCAUGAGUUCAAGCCCCACUUCAGACUCCUCGCUGACAGCGGAGCCUGCUUGGGAUUCUGUCUCUCAGCCCCUCCCCUGCCCAUGCUCUCUAAAUAAAUAAGUAAACAAACAAACAAACUUAAAAAGGAAAUAAAGAGAAUAUUUUAUAGGUGGUCACCCCUCGUAACCUGUGAGCUAACAUUAUUGCUUGUGCUCAAAUAUCUCCUGGACGCUGUCCUGUGUCCAUCCCCAACCUCACUCCGCCAUCCUGGGUCCGGGCACCACCCCUGUCCUCCCCUCAACUUCUUACAGUUGAAGGAUCCCCUUCCCUUCACCCCUGCCAGGCUUCCUGUCCCCUCUCGUCAGUCCACCCUUCCACUUAAACUUACGUGACUUGUGUUUUUAUUCCAUUUCAAUCCCUUUCCUACUUUCUUGUUUUCCUUCUCCUUCUUCCCCUCCUCUCCCUCUUCUCAUCUUUUCUUCCUUCUUUCCUUUCCUUUCUCCACCCCCUCCUCCUCUUCAAGUGCACGUGCACUCCUGGAAAUGCUGCAGACGAUGAGCCAGUAGCUGCCGGACAAGAACGCAUCCAGAUGAAUUGCUAAGCCAUUCAUUAAUCAUUCCAGCAUUACCUGAAAGUUUGUCAGCUAAGUGAGAUCCUUUGUAAAAUGUGUCCUUGGAGCUUUCUAUCUUGCCCAUCCCUGAGCAGAGUCCACACCCUGAAUCUGCAAGGUCUAAGAGGGAAAGGAAAACAGGAACAGGAAAGAUGGAGUCCUACAGUAACUUGCAUGUAAUAAUCACAAAAAUUUCCAGCUGAAUUAAGUAGCAUCAGGAUAGAUCGAUUCUCUAUGGGAAGAAUUGUUCCAAAACAAAUGACUUCCUGGUCUGAAAAGAUUCCCACUCUGAAGAGAGAAGGGCGGUCUCCUCUGCUGCUCCUUGGGAAUCGAUAGACCCUCAUUUAUCUGGAUGCUUUAAAUUGACAUAGAUGGCUAAAGGCAGGAAGUUGGACUUUAGCCUUCAAAGGGCUCCCUGAACCCCUGUUAUUAGCCAUCACCCCCACCUGAAUAUUGCCUUCCUAUUCAAAUUCCAUCCCAGGCCGGCAAUCUGGAAGCCAUCGGUUGAGUUCUCCCUCCCACACAACCUCCGAAGAGUCGGUCAGCAGACUGCUGCGUUGUCUAUUGCCUCACGGCGUUUUGAAUUCCUCCUUCUCCUCCUCGGUGGCUCUCCUCCGUUUAGCACUUGAGUCACUGUUUAUCUGGGGCUUAGUGGUCUCCUCCAUGCCUCUAGCAUCGUCCCUCUCCAAUUCUUCCCUCGCUGCUGCCUCAGUGAUGCUUUCCUGCUCAUCGUGCCUUCCCGCUCACCGUGCCUCCACAGCUUGGCACCGGCCCGUGCACAGGUCCAAACCCUUCAAGGAGACUUUGAGGUCUUUCGUGAAUCUCUCUAGCCAGUUCCCCUGGCUGUACCCACGUGAAUUCCUUGCAGCUCCUGAAUGCACCAUUCUCUUUCCUCCCUGGCUUUGCAUUUACUGUCCCUCUUCUCUGGAAUGCAAUUUAGCCAUCAUCAGGUGGCUAAUGCCCUGGUUCAGCUCUCCCUGCUCCCCUGCUCCCCUUAGGAGACUGUCUUAGCACAGCCCCUAUCACACUGCAGUGUAAAGCCUGGUUUACUGGUCUCUGUCGCUUGUGUGGCGCUUGGGGGCCCAGGCUAUGUCUUCCUGUUGAAGUCCUGUGGAAUUUGACUGCCUGCUCAUGCUGCCACACAUGAUCAUACGCCGCCUAGUAAAUACUAUCCAAAGGAACAGUUCUUAUGCUGUGUCCUGUAUUAUUAUAGAAUCUAGACGUGUUAACGUACAUCGUUAACAUAGUAUAAUUGCUUCACUCCGUCAUGAAUGCUUGUUCCCGAUGCUCCAAACACAUUCCAGGACUCUCAAGACUGAGAACCGUGUGUUUUACUGACCUUCUCUGUAGCCCCCGAUGCCUCACACAGGGAAGGCGAAGAGGACUCAAUGUCAGAAACUUGGUGAGAAUGAGCAGUGUACCAGAGAGAGAGGAAGAGUGCAGCCAAAGACGCAAGGAAGUUUCACUUCUGGGGGGUCCCACUUCUGGGUACCUGCUCAUCCUAACGGGCCAUCCUACCCAUCUGAAGAUGGAGACACUGGCUCUGUACUUCCUGAUCCCCCAGGUGGGAGGGGACUCUGCUGCCUACAGGACCAAUGUGCCCGACGGGGCCGAAGAACAUGCGCCGGGCAAGAA